CAAACGGUUUUCCUAAAAACCAUUUGUAAUAUUUAAGCAGUAACUU
This is a non-coding RNA of Candidatus Melainabacteria bacterium, 46 nucleotides long. The record is from Rfam. Lineage: Bacteria; Bacillati; Candidatus Melainabacteria.